CUGCUGCCUCCCGUAGGAGUUUGGACCGUGUCUCAGUUCCAAUGUGGGGGACCUUCCUCUCAGAACCCCUAUCCAUCGUCGUCUUGGUGGGCCGUUACCCCGCCAACUAACUAAUGGAACGCAUCCCCAUCGAUAACCGAAAUUCUUUAAUAUCAAGAUCAUGCGAUCUUGAUAUCCUAUCGGAUAUUAAUCUUUCUUUCGAAAGGCUAUCCCCGAGUUAUCGGCAGGUUGGAUACGUGUUACUCACUCGUGCGCCGGUCG
This 261-nucleotide ribosomal RNA is filed under the name uncultured bacterium. RNAcentral's name for it is "partial 16S ribosomal RNA". The record is from RNAcentral.